Molecule: ribosomal RNA, 395 nt
Filed under: Promachocrinus kerguelensis
Lineage: Eukaryota; Metazoa; Echinodermata; Crinoidea; Comatulida; Antedonidae
Description: partial 16S ribosomal RNA
Rfam family: Bacterial large subunit ribosomal RNA
Source: RNAcentral
AAAAAAGAAAUUAGUAUUUUUGUGAAGAAACGAAAAUAAUUACGCAAGACGAGAAGACCCUGUCGAGCUUAAGAAAAUUUUUAUAAGAGCCUAAUAAAAAUUAGCUAAUCUUUAUAUUUACUAAAAAACUAAAUAAAAAUAUCUUUGGUUGGGGCAACCACGAAGAAAAAAAAACCUUCGUCCUUUUUAAAAAAUUAACAAAUUUAAAAAUUUUAACUAUAAAAACAAAAGACCCAGAACAUACUGAGCAAAGAAAAAAGUUACCGCAGGGAUAACAGCGUUAUUCUCUUUAAGAGUCCGUAUUGACAAGAGAGUUUGCGACCUCGAUGUUGGACCGGGGCACCUUAGAGGUGCAACAACCUCUAAAAGUAGGUCUGUUCGACCUUUAAAGCCCU